RNAcentral lists this ribosomal RNA (429 nucleotides) under Gemmatimonadota bacterium. Its description in RNAcentral is "Gemmatimonadetes bacterium partial 16S ribosomal RNA". It matches the Rfam family "Bacterial small subunit ribosomal RNA", at positions 355 to 776 of the family's 1533-position model. The record is from RNAcentral. Lineage: Bacteria; Pseudomonadati; Gemmatimonadota.
UAGGGAAUCUUCGGCAAUGGACGAAAGUCUGACCGAGCAACGCCGCGUGAGUGAAGAAGGUUUUCGGAUCGUAAAACUCUGUUGCCCGAGAAGAACAAGGACGUUAGUAACUGAACGUCCCCUGACGGUAUCUAACCAGAAAGCCACGGCUAACUACGUGCCAGCAGCCGCGGUAAUACGUAGGUGGCAAGCGUUGUCCGGAUUUAUUGGGCGUAAAGCGAGCGCAGGCGGUUUCUUAAGUCUGAUGUGAAAGCCCCCGGCUCAACCGGGGAGGGUCAUUGGAAACGGGGAGACUUGAGUGCAGAAGAGGAGAGUGGAAUUCCAUGUGUAGCGGUGAAAUGCGUAGAUAUAUGGAGGAACACCAGUGGCGAAGGCGGCUCUCUGGUCUAUAACUGACGCUGAGGCUCGAAAGCGUGGGGAGCAAACAGG